UGGGGAAUAUUGCACAAUGGAGGGAACUCUGAUGCAGCGACGCCGCGUGAGUGAUGAAGGAAUUCGUUUCGUAAAACUCUGUUCUAUGGGAAGAAACCGCACUGUGCUAAUCAGCAGUGCCUUGACGGUACCUUCAAAGGAAGCACCGGCUAACUCCGUGCCAGCAGCCGCGGUAAUACGGAGGGUGCAAGCGUUAAUCGGAAUUACUGGGCGUAAAGCGCACGUAGGCUGCUUUGUAAGUCAGGGGUGAAAUCCCACGGCUCAACCGUGGAACUGCCUUUGAUACUGCUUAGCUUGAAUCCGGGAGAGGGUGGCGGAAUUCCAGGUGUAGGAGUGAAAUCCGUAGAUAUCUGGAGGAACAUCAGUGGCGAAGGCGGCCACCUGGACCGGUAUUGACGCUGAGGUGCGAAAGCGUGGGGAGCAAACAGG
Molecule: ribosomal RNA, 429 nt
Filed under: Fusobacteriota bacterium
Lineage: Bacteria; Fusobacteriati; Fusobacteriota
Description: Fusobacteria bacterium partial 16S ribosomal RNA
Rfam family: Bacterial small subunit ribosomal RNA
Source: RNAcentral